UUCUGCUCAAUGGAUUCUAAAUAGCCGCAGUACUCUGACUGUGCAAAGGUAGCAUAAUCAAUUGGCUUUUAAUUAAAGUCUGGAAUGAAUGAAAGCAUGGGUAGCAACUGUCUAACUAUUAUAAUAUGUCGAAUUUAAUAAGUAAGUGAAAAUGCUUACGCCCAUAAAAAAGACGAGAAGACCCUAGAAACUUUAAUAUUUAUUUUGUUGGGGCGACAGAAUUACAAAAAACUAAUUUUAUUGUACAAGACGCUGAGCAGUAAGAAUAAGUUACUCUAGGGAUAACAGCAUAAUUUUUAUAGUUUGUGACCUCGAUGUUGGACUAGGUAUAUAAUUUUUUAAAAGGAAAUUUGAAUGCUCUGUUCGAGCUGGAAAACCUACGUGAUCUGAUUCAGACCGGA
RNAcentral lists this ribosomal RNA (401 nucleotides) under Otala punctata. Its description in RNAcentral is "partial 16S ribosomal RNA". It matches the Rfam family "Bacterial large subunit ribosomal RNA", at positions 1857 to 2620 of the family's 2925-position model. Lineage: Eukaryota; Metazoa; Mollusca; Gastropoda; Stylommatophora; Helicidae. The record is from RNAcentral.